AAGGAUGGCGAAUGCAGCCGCUGCGAUCCCGGAUGUAAAUCCGGCCGCAGAGGAAAGUCCGAGCACCAUAGAGCAGGAUGCCUGGUAACGCCAGGGCCCGCAAGGGACGGCAAGUGCAACAGAGAGUAGACCGCCCGGGGCGCGGCGUGGCAACACGCGGCACUUCGGGUAAGGGUGAAAGGGUGCGGUAAGAGCGCACCAGCGCGACCGGUAACGGCCGCGGCUGGGUAAACCCCAUCCGGUGCAAGGCCAAAUAGGGCCGGACGUGGCAAAGGCGAAAGCCCGCGCCAGAGUGGCUGCUCGCUGCUCAGGGUCUCACGACCCCGUUAUCGGCCGGGUCGGCUGCUGGAGUUCCGGCGUGAGUCGGAAUCGAGAGUAAUGGCUGCACGCGGCGCGCAGGUGUCGCGAACAGAACUCGGCUUAUCACCGCCCGAGCAA
RNAcentral lists this RNase P RNA (438 nucleotides) under candidate division BRC1 bacterium HGW-BRC1-1. RNAcentral's name for it is "RNase P RNA component class A". It matches the Rfam family "Bacterial RNase P class A". From Rfam's summary of the family: Ribonuclease P (RNase P) is a ubiquitous endoribonuclease, found in archaea, bacteria and eukarya as well as chloroplasts and mitochondria. Its best characterised activity is the generation of mature 5'-ends of tRNAs by cleaving the 5'-leader elements of precursor-tRNAs. Lineage: Bacteria; Candidatus Sumerlaeota. The record is from RNAcentral.